Molecule: ribosomal RNA, 639 nt
Filed under: Borreliella garinii
Lineage: Bacteria; Pseudomonadati; Spirochaetota; Spirochaetia; Spirochaetales; Borreliaceae
Description: bacterial SSU rRNA
Source: RNAcentral
AGUGCGUCUUAAGCAUGCAAGUCAAACGGGAUGUAGCAAUACAUUCAGUGGCGAACGGGUGAGUAACGCGUGGAUGAUCUACCUACGAGAUGGGGAUAACUAUUAGAAAUAGUAGCUAAUACCGAAUAAAGUCAAUCAAUUUGUUAAUUGAUGAAAGGAAGCCUUUAAAGCUUCGCUUGUAGAUGAGUCUGCGUCUUAUUAGCUAGUUGGURGGGUAAAUGCCUACCAAGGCGAUGAUAAGUAACCGGCCUGAGAGGGUGAACGGUCACACUGGAACUGAGAUACGGUCCAGACUCCUACGGGAGGCAGCAGCUAAGAAUCUUCCGCAAUGGGCGAAAGCCUGACGGAGCGACACUGCGUGAAUGAAGAAGGUCGAAAGAUUGUAAAAUUCUUUUAUAAAUGAGGAAUAAGCUUUGUAGGAAAUGACGAAGUGAUGACGUUAAUUUAUGAAUAAGCCCCGGCUAAUUACGUGCCAGCAGCCGCGGUAAUACGUAAGGGGCGAGCGUUGUUCGGGAUUAUUGGGCGUAAAGGGUGAGUAGGCGGAUAUAUAAGUCUAUGCAUAAAAUACCACAGCUCAACUGUGGAACUAUGUUGGAAACUAUAUGUCUAGAGUCUGAUAGAGGAAGUUAGAAUUUCUGG